This is a long non-coding RNA of Orcinus orca (killer whale), 1492 nucleotides long. RefSeq lists it as uncharacterized. The transcript is spliced from 3 exons. The record is from RefSeq and is a predicted model, not a curated record. Lineage: Eukaryota; Metazoa; Chordata; Mammalia; Artiodactyla; Delphinidae.
UUGAACUCACCACCAUCUAACACUACAGAUUCUGGGUUUAUUGAGGGGAAGUGACGUUUAAGCAUCCCUGCCUUUCUGUUGAGGGAUGCCUGCCCUCCUCCCCUUUUCAGGAUUCAGUGCAGCUUCUUUCUGGGUUUCCAAAGCCCACAGCUCACGCCUCUACUUGCUGCAGGGAGCCCUGCCCGCCCCAUAGGAAGGUACACCAGCAGCCUGGAAACCAGACCAACAGCUCAGGGCCUUCCCACCUCCCAGACUAGCCUAGAAGCUGCUCGAAGGCAGGUCCUGGGUCUCAUCCGACAGUAUUUCCAGGAGCCAGCACUAGCUUAGAGGCUCAAGAGAGGACCGCUAUAGCCAAGGGUGGAACACGCAACUGCCACAGGGCCCUGACAGCGACCAUCGGAGGAUGGUGACUUCAGUUAACAGAGGUAUGGCAGCGAGAAAUCGCAAGAACCAAUUCCCUUGUCUUCUGCAACUGUCGGCCUUGCUUCUGCGGUGCAGCCAGAAAAUGGAGACCCCCAGCCACUGCUGUUCCCCAGCAAAAGGCAGGUUCUUGCUGCCCCCUGGCCAGGGCCCCUGAGCUACCUGAUACCACCCCUUUGAUUGGCAGGGCGCACGAGUUUUAUGGCAAGACUGGAAGUCGACUGUAAUUAAGACCUCUAUAAAAUAUUUAGACCACUGUGCCCAGAUAUAUUAAUGAUUAUACAUUUAAAUGUUAAUGAAUGUAAUUAGAUGAAAGAUUAGCCAAGCCUGUCACUAAAUAUACAUUCAGGACUGAUAAACUCUUGUACUGUAAAAUUAUAUGUGUAAGCAGAUGUACACUUAGACUUCUCAGAUAGACUUUGAUUCAUCUUAUUGAAAUAAAAGCUCAAAGUGUUGUCCAGAAUAGGGAGGGGGAAAGGGAGUUAGCAGGCUGGGGGAAAAGGCAGGGGGGUCUGAUGGGGAGGACCCUAAAGAUCCCACAGGGUCUUCGGGAAUGGUGAAGAUCAAAUGAGUUAGUACAUGUAAAAAUUUGCAUGCCUCCAUGGAUGGAGAACUCACUACUCCUAGGAGUAUCUAGUUUCAACUCUAAUGGCCACAUCCCAGAGGCAGGCAUAGGCGAAUGGUUUAGCAGGGUGACACUGGGGUCUCCCCUGAAACACUAGGUUUAUCUGUAAAAGCUGCUUUAAAAUAGAAAAUCACCCUGUAGGUCAAGAAGAAGAGGAGCAGGAUUUUACUGUAGCCUUAUUAAUAGAAAGCCCUAUAUUUAUUAGUUCAGGAAAAACUUACUGUGGGCUGACUACGUGCUGGGCACUGAGCCAGCUGCUGGAAAGCCUGGGUCAGCAAGACACAUGAGGUCUUUAUUCUGAUGGAGAUUGUGUCAGAGCAAGGGAGAUACACGACAAAUCAAUUAUUUAGACAUACACCAAGGCCAGGCUGUGAAGGAAAUAAAUGAGGAAUCCCCGGGCAGCUGUGCUUUGGGUGGCAUGGUCUGGAAAGGCCUCUCGUGAGGCCU